Molecule: unclassified non-coding RNA, 212 nt
Filed under: Hevea brasiliensis (rubber tree)
Lineage: Eukaryota; Viridiplantae; Streptophyta; Magnoliopsida; Malpighiales; Euphorbiaceae
Source: RNAcentral
AGCUCCUCGGUUGUAGGGGUAAAAUACCCCAACUAGUGCAAGAAUAAAAAUGAAAAUUGUAAGGGCAAAUAGCUGGGUUCCAGAACCGAGACAUGCAGAAAAUAGCGACUUGUUAUUUGGAUACCUGAAGACAUCACCAUGAAUAUAUUUCCAACCAGAUUCUUCUUGGUCCUCGGCUGCCUCCUCAUCGUGAGCAUACUUGACAAAGUCAU